CGGGUGAGUAACGCGUGGGUAACCUGCCUUGUACAGGGGGAUAACAGUUGGAAACGGCUGCUAAUACCGCAUAAGCGCACGGCAUCGCAUGAUGCAGUGUGAAAAACUCCGGUGGUAUAAGAUGGACCCGCGUUGGAUUAGCUAGUCGGUGAGGUAACGGCCCACCAAGGCGACGAUCCAUAGCCGACCUGAGAGGGUGACCGGCCACAUUGGGACUGAGACACGGCCCAA
RNAcentral lists this ribosomal RNA (231 nucleotides) under uncultured bacterium. RNAcentral's name for it is "partial 16S ribosomal RNA". It matches the Rfam family "Bacterial small subunit ribosomal RNA", at positions 103 to 334 of the family's 1533-position model. The record is from RNAcentral.